GUAUCUUCUCAGUUAUCCAUCUCUCUUUCUCUUUUCCAUUACAACUAAUCACCACCACAUCAUUUCCGGCUACCACCGCCAUCAAUUCCGGCCACCUGAAACCUAUCUAAACCCAUCUCCCCGACUUAAAAAACGCACAUGUAACCCAAAAAAAUAGCCUGAACCCUAGCAUAUUCGGAUUUCAGAUCCAGUCUUGUGGAUUUAGAUCCGCCGCCAUCCUGGUCUUUUAAUUCAGAUCUAGUCUUGAGGUAGGUGGGUAUGACCCAAACAGGUUCGCCGCCAACGAACUAGGGCAUGGCCCAAAUCAUUGGCUAGUGGUGGUGGGUGGUUUCCGGCUAUGGUGGAGGUUUCUGGUGGUGGGGGUUUGUGGAUUUGACCAGAGAUUUGGUGGUGGUGCGUAGUGGUGGAGGAUAGGGUUUUCAAAUUUAGAAAAGGGUUUAAAAUUUAAAGAUUGUGGUAAUGGUUGGUUGUGGUGGUUUGAUGUUGGUGUUUGCCGGUGUUCUGUUCUUUAAAAUUAGAUGGUGAAAGCAAAUAUUUUUGUGGGAGAAGAUGAUUUGAAGCAUAUAUCUAAACAUGUUAAUGAGAUAGAUGGAGGUCCUGUAAAUAUAAUCUAAUAUGCUCUUUCUUGAUCCUUUUUUGAUUGUUGUGAUGGGUUUGGUACCACUAGACUUGUUGUUGUUUUUAGUGAGUGCAGGUAAUGAUUUUAUCCCCAAUUUCUUAAUUCUUUAACAAUAGACCUUUAUGAAGAGGUCCGAUAUGGUGUAGUGAUUUGUAGAGCGAGAGAGAGCUGAGGGAGGGGACUGAGUUUCUAGAGAGAGAGAUGAGAUUAUGAUUAUUGUAUAUAUUUUAUAAGUUUUUAGUUUUGUUUUUGUUUUAUUUAUAAAAUAUUUUAAUUAGAUUGGU
RNAcentral lists this long non-coding RNA (903 nucleotides) under Helianthus annuus (common sunflower). RNAcentral's name for it is "hypothetical non coding rna". The record is from RNAcentral. Lineage: Eukaryota; Viridiplantae; Streptophyta; Magnoliopsida; Asterales; Asteraceae.